This 5515-nucleotide long non-coding RNA is filed under the name Equus caballus (horse). RNAcentral's name for it is "lncRNA (ENSECAG00000046486.1)". Lineage: Eukaryota; Metazoa; Chordata; Mammalia; Perissodactyla; Equidae. The record is from RNAcentral.
CAAUAUAAAACAAUUAUGAAUGAGAUAGUUUACCUUCUUUUUUUUUUUAAAACUACGUCUCUGAAACCUGGUGUGUAUUUCACAUGCACAGCACAUCACAGUUUGGACAGCCACAUCUCACGUGCUCAGUAGCCAUGCGCAGAGAGCGUCCAUGGUGUCUUAUGGCCCUAGGUCUGGACAGUGCUGUCCUAGAGCACUAUUUUCUUUCACUGGUGGUUGUUGAUCCUGAGUAAUAAUCGUGACUUAAGCUUAUGUUUAUAGGAGGUUUACCAUUCCUCAAAGAAUCUUCACAUUCUUCAAGCCAUCGGAUCUCAUUUGAGCCACUUUUGACAGUAGAAAGUGAAGCCAAAAAAAUCCGUCCGUGUUACCUGGGCAGUCAGUAGCAGACUCAGGUCUCCCGGUUCCUGGAGCGGUGGACUUCCCACCAGAACCACGAGGCAGGAUGCUGCGGCAGGCCAUGAGGUUACCGGGGAUGCGGAGAAAGAGACAAGAAGUCAAGGUAGCCACAAAGGCUGUCAGCGAAGGGUCAGACCUAUCUGUGACCUAAAACCUACUGAACUGUACACGCCAAGUGGGUGAAAUGUAUGGUAUGGAAAUUGUAUCUCAAUACAGUUGUUAAAGGAGAGAGAAUGAGAGAGAGAGAGAAGCCAGCCAGUGUGCUGCUUUCUUUUCAGGAGCCCAAGAGUCAGAGAGGAGUGCCUCUGCCAAUGACAGCACCAUCUUUCAUCUGUAAGUUUUUGUAUUGUCAAAUUAUGUUAAUCAAGGGAAGUAAACAUUUUUUGACAGCAAAGUGAGGUGCCCCCAAGAUCCUGAAAUAAAUCAUCCCCAGAAUUUGCAUUAUCCCUGAUAAAAGCAGUACUCAACUAACGAGCGUGUGUCUAAAUAUACCUUGAAGGUACAGACAGGCCCCGGGCCUGCAGGACAUUCCGUAGGCUGGUUGGAGAGGUGGCCUGGCUAAGGAAGUCUAUGCCAAGCAGAAAAGCCAGAGCCUGGGCAGAUGUCUCCUGCUCAUUGCCGUCUCCCGGGUGUUUAGCCCAGGCCCGGGCCCAUAUGGCACACUCAGAGAUUAUCUGUUGAGUGAAUAUUAAGAGGAGAGGGUGCCAUGGGACAAGAAUUCAACCCCCUUGGGGCAGAAGCAAGAAUGUCUCUAAGUCGGGCCUGGAUUCAUCUUACCUGAGUCUAAUGUCAACAAUGUCAGGGCCCCUCCCCCCGCCCUGACUCCCCCAUAAUUCUUGGACUUUUCCUGCACCUGUUAAAGGAAGGAAGUGGAUGGAUGGCAUGCUGACAUCCCCUUUGCCGUGCUGUUUCUUCGUGUAGGUUAAGGACUCACUGGCACACAGAUUGGAACUUCUGUCUAUUUUGCGUCUGCCUGUCUGCCUCUUUGCUUUUUGUUCUGGUGGUUGUUUUGUUGUAGGUGAGCCAAAAUCCCCAGGUGUGAACAGCUGGAACCCUGAAAGAAUGAGAUGCCUAGCCCGGCAAGAUGAGGCUGCCAAAGAGAGGCCAUUUGGGUCUCCGAAUUCUCAGGGAGAAGCCUGGAGCUAUCUCCCUACCGUUCGUUAUUCCAAUGCCAGCGGUUUAACUGGAAAAGCCUUAGUUUAAGAGAAAUUCUGAAUCAUAUCCUACAGAAGUUCCACACUUCCCACAGGACCAGAGGACACAGACUCCUUUAUGACGCUAUAGCCCUGAGUGUUGUAGCGGCUGCAGGAGCCGCUCAGGGCUUGGUUUGGGGGCUGGAUCCGGCACCUUGUGGAUGUUAGAUGGAGAGAAAUGCUUGGCCUCGGCUCUGGAAAAGCACAGGCUCACUGUGCUCCUCCCACCACAAGGACGGUUAGGAAGAGAGGCCGAGACCAUCUUGUGGGAGUUCUGGGGAUUCUCUGAGCUGGGGCUGGUGCCACACGGCCUUCUCAAGGAUGCCCUGGCAUCAAGACAGUGGGAUGCGAGACACAGGUGCAGCUCUGCCUGUGUCCACUCACAGUCACUGACCUUGGAGAAGCCACUUAGCCUCCUGGAAAUUUGCUGUCCUCGUCUUUGAAAUGGACGUACUUAGAUAUACCUCUGGGCGUUGCUGAAAGCAGGUGGCCAUGGGUGGGCUGCCUUCCUCUUUGAUGGGGACUCUGUUCAGACCAGGAGUGAUCCUGUGGGGCUGCCCUCUGGAGCUCCGUUGCCCAGGCCUGGCACUGGCCUGAGGAGGAGCAGAGGGAGGAUGCUCCUGUUUCAGGCCUGCUCCCAGCCCGGGUCCCAGGCUCCCAUGACGUGGUGAGAGGCGGGGAUGUUCCAGCAGAGGGUUAGGGAAGGUUGGAGUCAGGGGGAGAGCACUGAGAAGCUCAGUUCAAUGAGGAGGAUAGCGAUGAAUUUAAACAAGAAAAGAAAAAAGAGAAAAGGAAAGGAGAGAAAAGAAAAGAAAAAAACAAGGCUAAUAUCCUGAAAGGAUUUGACUUGAUGAAAGAAAGGAUUUAGGCUGUAGGACAGUUGACAGAUGUUCUGCCCGUGGGGCCAUAUGAGGAAAAAGAAACAAGUGAGACGAAAGAAGCGAUGCCUCAGUAACGUCUGAAGGUGCAGCCCAUUUUUAAAGAGGAAAAUGGGUCUCGCAUGUGCCUGGAGGCAGAAUACAGACAGAAGGAGUUAUGGUGUUUUGGAAACGGUGACAGGAGGGUCUCAUGGUUUCCAGGGCUCUCCUGGGCCCCAGUCCCCAUGGAGUGCAGGAUAUUACUGUCCAGAAAAGGAGAGUGACCCAGGCCACCUAAACUCAACGUCUGUUCUGGUCUCAGAGGACUCGCUGUCCUUACAGAGUGGUUUGACUGGGAAGGAGAGCCUUCAGGGGGACAUGCAUGUGGCCUGGUGUGUGGGAACAAGGCUGACUGGAAGCCUGGGGGCGAGCUUGUUUCAGGCCUGGUGAAGUGGCUGAAUGGAGCCCUGUGUCUCCAGUUGGAGAGCAAGCUGGGGCUAAGAGAAUAUUUCACUGAAACUGGGAGCACCCAUGGUGGGUGAUUCAGGAAUACACCCAGGUAACCUGGGGACUUGGAUUCUUAACACAGGAACGUCAUGGUCACUCUUUAAAAGAAGCAGGAAUCACUGCUGUGCUAGGGAUACGCGGACCCCAGUGUUGGUGAGGUGGCCUGCUCUUCGGCAGCAGCUGAGAAAGCCAGCUGUGGCUCCGAAUGGUGGGAGACAAACUGAGACGAACACCCAGACUCCUCGACUGCCAAGGGACCAGAGCCCACGCCAAAGCCCAUGAAGAUAGCAAACCCCUAGCAAGGAGUGCUCUGCUGGCACUGGCCAAAGUUGGGGAGCUGCUUAGGAAGCCACCAGAAAAGACUGAGGGAGGGGUCACUGGAGCUUCCCAAGGGAAGCAGGCAGAGUCUCAAACUAAACAUCUUGAAAUUAGAGGAGUGGGCACAUUCAAGAGAAUAAAAGAAUAAAAGAGAAGGAGAGCGGGUUGGGGGGUGGGCACGGAGGAGAGCUCAGAGAGCAGGAGAGUGCACGGGGAUGCCUUCCUUCUAGUGUGCAAAUCACCAGGGGCAGUGUCAAGGAACAGUAGAUUAGGUAAGGCCCCUUGUGGUCAUCCAGUCCCCAUGGGUCUGCUCAGUGACAGCUCCCUGACUUGUCAGUACGACAUUUGUGGACUUAAGACUAUGUGCCAGGAUCUGGUAUGUAGGAAGCUUUAUUCCAUACAUUUUUUUCUUUACUCCCAGUUAAUCCUCACAACAGACUGCAAGAAGGGCAUUAUCUCCAUUUUACAGAUGAAGAAACUGGAGCUCAGAGAAGUUAAAUAACUUGUUCUGGGUCACAGUCAGUUAGUGGAAGAGCUAAGUCUCAAGCUCACAUCUUUGUGAUCCAAGCCUUCGCGUUCCAUCACGCCGAGCCACUUCCUCCCGGGGGGCAGAGCCCCUCCCUCCACACUGUCUGAGCUGCCUCCUCCAGUACCUUGCAAGGUCAACUCAGAUGGCCUAGCAGCUUGAAGUCAGUCCUCGGGCUCCGUGGCAGAUUAAAGAUGACAAAAGUUCUUAGGCAUGCCUCCACUGAGAGGUGGGAUCUGUGUCCCCUCCCUUUGAAUCUGGUGGCCUUUGUUGAAUCACUUGUGGAGUAAGGGGUACUAUGUGGCCUCCAAGGCGAGGCAAGAAGAAAUAUUGCGACUUUGGUCUCGGUCUCAUGGCGCACUCACUUCUGGACAUUCCUCUGGUGGUAUCUCUGUGUGGAGCCAGCCCCCAUGCUGUGAAAAGCCUGGCCCGUGGAGGGACCCAUGGGGGUGCCCUGGUUGGCAGCCUCAGCUGAGCUCCCAGCUGAAAGUCAACAUCACCUGCCAGCCAAGUAAGUCACCUUGGAAAACUAGUCUGCAUGGGCAUAGAAUCCCUAGCAGAUAUCUGAUAAUAACCACUUAACCAAUUCCCUGUGAGGGCUUCCCUAUCGAGCCCACUCGAAUCCCUGACCCUUAGACUGUGAGCAAAACAAAUGGCUGUUUUAAGUGGCUGACUUUGAGAGUAAUUAACUGCAUAGCAAUGGACAACCACCAGGGUGCCUCUGUGAAUAUCUGGGUCCAGAUGAGCCACAUGUAGGUUGUGGGGGUGUCACAUGAUGCAGAGCAUCAGAGGGGGGCAGGCUUGCCUGCUCUGCUCAGAUAGACUAAGCGAUUUCUCUUGACAAUGCCACCUGGAGUGCAAUCUCAAACUCAUAACCAGUAAACUUCCAAGGAGAGAGUCUGGGAGCAGACUUUUAAUUAGUGAGUGGUGAACUCAUCUCAGAAAGAACGAAGAAGGGCAGCAGGACCGGGAGCAGAGAUGAGUUCAGAAGCUGCCCAGAUGGAUUUCUGAGAUGUACAAGGACCCAGGGACGGCAGGUGGAGAAAACAGAGGCAGAAAAUCAAACACCGUGCGUACUGGCAUGAAUGGCACGGUGACAUUUUACCCUUAUUGUCAACUCUGCUUCUCAUUUUGCCAGGGAGCUUGUUUCAGGAUUUGAGCUCCCCUGGGACAGGGUUCAUGUUAGUCAUUGUCCCCGAGCUGAAGAAAUGGGUCUUUCUCUUCUGAAAACCAUCUCACAAUUUACUGAGCUGCCUGGAAGUUGGCGUUUCUGUGCCCGGCCACUGUAAGCAUCCAUAGAUUGGGGGAUGCACUUCAAUAUGUCAUGUUUUGUCCCCAAACAUGGUUUUGCAUAAAUAUGAUUUAAAACUCAGCACAACUUGUGUUUUGAAAAUCACACAUGUGGAUUCCCAAAACCUUGUAAUUCCCCAAACUUCAUCUUAAUGUCUUGAAAUACAACUUGCCUGUCUUCCAAAUGCUGAAAACAGUUGGUGGUGUCCUGCUGUGCAGGUGUAAGCUGAGUAGAAUUUCGUCUUUUGGUUCCGAGUCUUGUAAGAGUCCAAACUUUGAAAAUAAAGUCAGGCCUCCAGGCCUCAACUAGAGGAGAGAGAACGACAAGGCAUGGACCAGUGUGCGCGGGCAUGCUGUCCUCUCUGGUGGGCAGGGACAGCUCCUGCCCUGCGAGGAGUGUGAGGAAGGAAGAUGGAUUGGAGACAGGG